Molecule: long non-coding RNA, 1762 nt
Filed under: Homarus americanus (American lobster)
Lineage: Eukaryota; Metazoa; Arthropoda; Malacostraca; Decapoda; Nephropidae
Description: uncharacterized LOC121856543
Source: RNAcentral
GGACCUUCUUCCUCAUCAGAAUAAAGAACGGAACCACCACUUUAAGCGAGGACUUACAGUACUGUACUGUGCAUAUAUAUUCAGCCUUCAACUCCUUCACUACAUGGAUGCCACUUAGAAUAUGUUAUUUGGCUAGCACCAGAUGAUUUUAUUCAGCACAGAGAGGAACCUUCACACAAGGGGUUGGAUUUGUGGGCUUUUUCAAUACCAUCAUUCUGUGGCCUGGGUUCCCCCUGUUGGAUGUUUUUGGAUGGGAGACAUUUCAGUUGCCAAAUCUGCAACACCUGUUCUACAUGUCUGUUAAUGGCUUAGUAGGAACUGUCCUGUCUGAACUUCUUUGGCUUUGGGGAUGCUUCCUUACUUCAUCAUUGAUGGCUACUUUAUCUUUGAGCUUAACUAUUCCCUUGACAAUGUUUGUGGACAUCUGGCUCAAGGGCAUCAAGUAUUCACUGCUAAUUUAUAUUGGUGCAAUUCCCAUGAUGACAUCUUUUAUUGCUGUCUCACUUCUCACACAUUAUGAAAGCUGGGACCCAUUGAUGGAUGGAAUGAAAUAUCUUCAUAGAAAGUGUUGGAGAAGAAACCACAUGUACAGGUAAAUUUAACUUUAUAUAAUUUUCUUUGUAGUUGAAGCUGAUGGUAUACAAUAUUAAAGAAAUAUAAAUUUUGAAUUACAGUAUAGAUAAUAGAUGUACACUUAAGUUAUAUUUUUUCUCCAGAUCUUAAAGAAAAUAUGAUAAGUUUUUGUCUCGUAAAUGUUAUAUUGCUUUUAAUUUCUGCAUAUUGGCAUCCAUCCAAGUGUUUGCCUUGGAUGAAUCUGUAUACUGUACAGGGGCCCCUGAAUAAUGAACGGGUUACAUUUCAGGACCUGUUCAUAAGUUGAUUUAUUCAUAACUCAGAACCUUGUUAAUAACGCAAAAUAAAAUAUGAAUAAAACACCCAUCCUUAUCUGUCAAAUCAUAAAAUUUAUAAUGCCAUAAGUAACAAAUAAUGUAUGGAGGUGUGCUGCUGAACAAAGUAGUUUUACCUUGGGAAGUACAGUACCAGUGAUUUUAUUAUGAGUAGUAUUAGGAUCACAAUAAUUCCAUGCUUGUUGUUUGACAUCAUAAGAUGGGUGUACAGUAGGGAGAUGGUGCAGGGUGGUGAUGGUUAGUUGUUGAUCGGUGGUAAAGAGAAUACGACAUGCACGAUUCUCAAUAAAUCAUUUCUUACCAUAUUUUAUGUUAUGUACAGUACAGUACUCUUGUGAAUGCAGUACUCUACUGCUGUGACGCCAUCGUGGAUGAAAAUAGGCAUACGUACUAUAGUUAAAAAAGUCAAUCUUUGCGAUGUUCAGACCCUAGCCCUCUUUCCCAUAAGAAGUUCAGUAAAGAAUGAUUCACAACUAAUUGAGGUUUCAGGAACCUAAUAUCAUUCUUUAUCGAGGGUCCAGUAAUGUAUAUUGACACCAGUGUAAUUCAUAAGUUGCUUGGCUAUCUAAAUACGUAUCGUCAAUUUAUUGUCAAACGACAUUUCUAAUAGUAUUACUCGUAACAGAAUAUGUACCAUUGUUGCCACAUGGUACAGUAUCUGAAUUUUAAAUAGUUUUAUAGUGGUUUGAUAACAAAGGUUUAAAGUACAUUAUAUAAAGGAUCAACAAACCAUCCUUCUCCCUUAUCUCAGUAUGUUUAUCGCUUCUCUGUGCUUGUUUGAGAAGAAAAGAAAUCAUUACAAUACUCUAAUGUGGCUUAGAAAUAAAGAAAUUAUAAAACUAAAAAAAAAAAAA